This is a non-coding RNA of Schizosaccharomyces pombe (fission yeast), 363 nucleotides long. NCBI's taxonomy places the organism in Eukaryota, Fungi, Ascomycota, Schizosaccharomycetes, Schizosaccharomycetales, Schizosaccharomycetaceae. The record is from the annotation of a GenBank genome assembly.
CAACUUUGUUCCCCUCCGAGUCUUGGGUUUUGGAGGUUUCAGAAGUCUCGAUUUGUUCUGUGAAACUCGUAGUAUUAUUAUCGGCGUUAAAGAUGUUGCUAUACAAUGGGUGUCUUUUCAUUUCACUUAAAGUUUCUGGCUCGGGGAUUUCAUCAAACACAACUUCUGUAUUUUUGUUCACCAUUUCCCAGGCGUCCAGCGUACUUAACUUCCAAAUUUCAUCUUGUACUUGUUCCAUAAUAAAAAAGAAAAGGAUAAUAUCCAAAAAAUUUCAAAAGGUUAUUGUACUAAAAUAUCUCAGUACGCGCCCACUAGGUCGUAAUAUUAAUCUCGUCCUCCCCAAAGAAGCUAAAAGAUAUCAUA